This is a non-coding RNA of Acanthosepion pharaonis, 87 nucleotides long. Lineage: Eukaryota; Metazoa; Mollusca; Cephalopoda; Sepiida; Sepiidae. The record is from the annotation of a GenBank genome assembly.
GUUCUUGUCUGAUCACUGAAGUUAAGCAAUGCUGAGCCUGGUCAGUACUCAGAUGGGUGACUGCUGGGGAAUACCAAGUGCUGUAAA